Molecule: long non-coding RNA, 707 nt
Filed under: Vigna radiata
Lineage: Eukaryota; Viridiplantae; Streptophyta; Magnoliopsida; Fabales; Fabaceae
Description: long non-coding RNA (VRAD_LNC002504)
Source: RNAcentral
GGGACAUCAGUGCACACAUGCUUGAAUUUAUUGGCAAGAGGAUGGUUUUGAAGAGAAUGAGAGUUGUUUGGAAUGGUUUGGAAGACUGGGACCGACACAUGGGUACUACAAUCCUCAAAGGAGAUGUAAUAUGUGAGUGCUAAGACGAAACAAGAUAUACCAAAAUUUUUUUGCCCCGGUUUAGUGUUUGGGAAAAUGAGCAUAGGGUUAUGAAUCCAUGAAAAUAAGGGUGAACAAAUCAAAUGAGACUUGCAAAUCUGCCCCAGUCUUGGGAUCAUGGGUUGAUGAAAAAUUUGUAUGAGACUCACAAAGCUGCCUUAGUCUUGGGUCAUGGGUUGAUGAAAAAUUUGUAUGAGACUCACAAAGCUUCCCCAGUCCUUGGUCAUGGGUUGAUGAAAAAUUUGUAUGAGACUCACAAAGCUGCCCCAGUUUUUUCCUUGGCAAAGGGUUCCAUUUGGAAGAGGUAGUGGGCAUGAAAAAGAUCGGCUAAAAGGACGACCCCAAUUGGUUUGAUUUUCUUUUAUAUGCUUCUGGCUAGUUGGCAAGGAGAUCCCCUCUACCCGAGACAUUAUCUUCUCUUUUUUUUUAUAUUCAUUCGUUUACAACUUUUUUUUUACGACACAUUGAAAGUCAUUUCGCCUUAUCGUAAAAUUGAGCAAACAUUAUCCAAUUUGUGUGGGCUUUAUUAGGCUUGUAACAUAGCUAGG